UACGUAGGCAGCAAGCGUUGUUCGGAAUUACUGGGCGUAAAGGGUGCGUAGGCGGUCUUCUAAGUCUGGUGUGAAAUCUCCCGGCUCAACUGGGAGGGUGCGCCGGAAACUGGGAGGCUAGAGUGCGGGAGGGGAAAGUGGAAUUCCUGGUGUAGCGGUGAAAUGCGUAGAUAUCAGGAGGAACACCGGUGGUGUAGACGGCUUUCUGGACCGCAACUGACGCUGAGGCACGAAAGCGUGGGUAGCAAACAGG
Molecule: ribosomal RNA, 253 nt
Filed under: uncultured bacterium
Lineage: Bacteria
Description: partial 16S ribosomal RNA
Rfam family: Bacterial small subunit ribosomal RNA
Source: RNAcentral